GACGAACGCUGGCGGCGUGCUUAACACAUGCAAGUCGAACGGAAAGGCCCUGCUUUUGUGGGGUGCUCGAGUGGCGAACGGGUGAGUAACACGUGAGUAACCUGCCCUUGACUUUGGGAUAACUUCAGGAAACUGGGGCUAAUACCGGAUAGGAGCUCCUGCUGCAUGGUGGGGGUUGGAAAGUUUCGGCGGGUGGGGAUGGACUCGCGGCUUAUCAGCUUGUUGGUGGGGUAGUGGCUUACCAAGGCUUUGACGGGUAGCCGGCCUGAGAGGGUGACCGGCCACCUUGGGACUGAGAUACGGCCCAGACUCCUACGGGAGGCAGCAGUGGGGAAUAUUGCACAAUGGGCGGAAGCCUGAUGCAGCAACGCCGCGUGCGGGAUGACGGCCUUCGGGUUGUAAACCGCUUUCGCCUGUGACGAAGCGUGAGUGACGGUAAUGGGUAAAGAAGCACCGGCUAACUACGUG
This 468-nucleotide ribosomal RNA is filed under the name uncultured bacterium. RNAcentral describes it as "partial 16S ribosomal RNA". It matches the Rfam family "Bacterial small subunit ribosomal RNA", at positions 28 to 507 of the family's 1533-position model. The record is from RNAcentral.